Molecule: ribosomal RNA, 2932 nt
Filed under: Escherichia coli
Lineage: Bacteria; Pseudomonadati; Pseudomonadota; Gammaproteobacteria; Enterobacterales; Enterobacteriaceae
Description: 23S ribosomal RNA
Rfam family: Bacterial large subunit ribosomal RNA
Source: RNAcentral
GGGUUGUGAGGUUAAGCGACUAAGCGUACACGGUGGAUGCCCUGGCAGUCAGAGGCGAUGAAGGACGUGCUAAUCUGCGAUAAGCGUCGGUAAGGUGAUAUGAACCGUUAUAACCGGCGAUUUCCGAAUGGGGAAACCCAGUGUGUUUCGACACACUAUCAUUAACUGAAUCCAUAGGUUAAUGAGGCGAACCGGGGGAACUGAAACAUCUAAGUACCCCGAGGAAAAGAAAUCAACCGAGAUUCCCCCAGUAGCGGCGAGCGAACGGGGAGCAGCCCAGAGCCUGAAUCAGUGUGUGUGUUAGUGGAAGCGUCUGGAAAGGCGCGCGAUACAGGGUGACAGCCCCGUACACAAAAAUGCACAUGCUGUGAGCUCGAUGAGUAGGGCGGGACACGUGGUAUCCUGUCUGAAUAUGGGGGGACCAUCCUCCAAGGCUAAAUACUCCUGACUGACCGAUAGUGAACCAGUACCGUGAGGGAAAGGCGAAAAGAACCCCGGCGAGGGGAGUGAAAAAGAACCUGAAACCGUGUACGUACAAGCAGUGGGAGCACGCUUAGGCGUGUGACUGCGUACCUUUUGUAUAAUGGGUCAGCGACUUAUAUUCUGUAGCAAGGUUAACCGAAUAGGGGAGCCGAAGGGAAACCGAGUCUUAACUGGGCGUUAAGUUGCAGGGUAUAGACCCGAAACCCGGUGAUCUAGCCAUGGGCAGGUUGAAGGUUGGGUAACACUAACUGGAGGACCGAACCGACUAAUGUUGAAAAAUUAGCGGAUGACUUGUGGCUGGGGGUGAAAGGCCAAUCAAACCGGGAGAUAGCUGGUUCUCCCCGAAAGCUAUUUAGGUAGCGCCUCGUGAAUUCAUCUCCGGGGGUAGAGCACUGUUUCGGCAAGGGGGUCAUCCCGACUUACCAACCCGAUGCAAACUGCGAAUACCGGAGAAUGUUAUCACGGGAGACACACGGCGGGUGCUAACGUCCGUCGUGAAGAGGGAAACAACCCAGACCGCCAGCUAAGGUCCCAAAGUCAUGGUUAAGUGGGAAACGAUGUGGGAAGGCCCAGACAGCCAGGAUGUUGGCUUAGAAGCAGCCAUCAUUUAAAGAAAGCGUAAUAGCUCACUGGUCGAGUCGGCCUGCGCGGAAGAUGUAACGGGGCUAAACCAUGCACCGAAGCUGCGGCAGCGACGCUUAUGCGUUGUUGGGUAGGGGAGCGUUCUGUAAGCCUGUGAAGGUGUGCUGUGAGGCAUGCUGGAGGUAUCAGAAGUGCGAAUGCUGACAUAAGUAACGAUAAAGCGGGUGAAAAGCCCGCUCGCCGGAAGACCAAGGGUUCCUGUCCAACGUUAAUCGGGGCAGGGUGAGUCGACCCCUAAGGCGAGGCCGAAAGGCGUAGUCGAUGGGAAACAGGUUAAUAUUCCUGUACUUGGUGUUACUGCGAAGGGGGGACGGAGAAGGCUAUGUUGGCCGGGCGACGGUUGUCCCGGUUUAAGCGUGUAGGCUGGUUUUCCAGGCAAAUCCGGAAAAUCAAGGCUGAGGCGUGAUGACGAGGCACUACGGUGCUGAAGCAACAAAUGCCCUGCUUCCAGGAAAAGCCUCUAAGCAUCAGGUAACAUCAAAUCGUACCCCAAACCGACACAGGUGGUCAGGUAGAGAAUACCAAGGCGCUUGAGAGAACUCGGGUGAAGGAACUAGGCAAAAUGGUGCCGUAACUUCGGGAGAAGGCACGCUGAUAUGUAGGUGAAGUCCCUUGCGGAUGGAGCUGAAAUCAGUCGAAGAUACCAGCUGGCUGCAACUGUUUAUUAAAAACACAGCACUGUGCAAACACGAAAGUGGACGUAUACGGUGUGACGCCUGCCCGGUGCCGGAAGGUUAAUUGAUGGGGUUAGCGGUAACGCGAAGCUCUUGAUCGAAGCCCCGGUAAACGGCGGCCGUAACUAUAACGGUCCUAAGGUAGCGAAAUUCCUUGUCGGGUAAGUUCCGACCUGCACGAAUGGCGUAAUGAUGGCCAGGCUGUCUCCACCCGAGACUCAGUGAAAUUGAACUCGCUGUGAAGAUGCAGUGUACCCGCGGCAAGACGGAAAGACCCCGUGAACCUUUACUAUAGCUUGACACUGAACAUUGAGCCUUGAUGUGUAGGAUAGGUGGGAGGCUUUGAAGUGUGGACGCCAGUCUGCAUGGAGCCGACCUUGAAAUACCACCCUUUAAUGUUUGAUGUUCUAACGUUGACCCGUGAUCCGGGUUGCGGACAGUGUCUGGUGGGUAGUUUGACUGGGGCGGUCUCCUCCUAAAGAGUAACGGAGGAGCACGAAGGUUGGCUAAUCCUGGUCGGACAUCAGGAGGUUAGUGCAAUGGCAUAAGCCAGCUUGACUGCGAGCGUGACGGCGCGAGCAGGUGCGAAAGCAGGUCAUAGUGAUCCGGUGGUUCUGAAUGGAAGGGCCAUCGCUCAACGGAUAAAAGGUACUCCGGGGAUAACAGGCUGAUACCGCCCAAGAGUUCAUAUCGACGGCGGUGUUUGGCACCUCGAUGUCGGCUCAUCACAUCCUGGGGCUGAAGUAGGUCCCAAGGGUAUGGCUGUUCGCCAUUUAAAGUGGUACGCGAGCUGGGUUUAGAACGUCGUGAGACAGUUCGGUCCCUAUCUGCCGUGGGCGCUGGAGAAUUGAGGGGGGCUGCUCCUAGUACGAGAGGACCGGAGUGGACGCAUCACUGGUGUUCGGGUUGUCAUGCCAAUGGCACUGCCCGGUAGCUAAAUGCGGAAGAGAUAAGUGCUGAAAGCAUCUAAGCACGAAACUUGCCCCGAGAUGAGUUCUCCCUGACUCCUUGAGAGUCCUGAAGGAACGUUGAAGACGACGACGUUGAUAGGCCGGGUGUGUAAGCGCAGCGAUGCGUUGAGCUAACCGGUACUAAUGAACCGUGAGGCUUAACCUUACAACGCCGAAGCUGUU